AUGUUGGUGGUUAAGUGGUAGAAUACUCGCCUGCCAUGCGGGAGGCCCGGGUUCAGAUCCUAGCCCAUGCA
Non-coding RNA from Salmo salar (Atlantic salmon), 71 nucleotides. NCBI's taxonomy places the organism in Eukaryota, Metazoa, Chordata, Actinopteri, Salmoniformes, Salmonidae. The record is from Rfam.